GCUUUUUUUCCAGCCAGUCCAUUAUUUACCUGCCCUGUACUAGUAAACAGGGCUUCCCUGGUAUCUCAGAUGGUAAAGAAUCUUCCUACAAUACAGGAGACCGGGAUUUGAUCCCUGGGUCGGGAAGAUCCCCUGGAGAAGGGAAUGGCAACCCAUUCCAGUAUUCUUGCCUGGAGAAUCCCAUGGUCAGAGGAGCCGGAGGGCUACAGUCCUUCGGGUCACAAAGAGUCAGACAUGACUGAGAGACUAACACUUUCACUUGACUUUGCUUUUGUACUAAUAAACUAUCCUGAGGCUGUUUCAACAAUUUUCCUUUUUGAAUGAGGGAGACCUCUGGACAUGAUGUAUUGUGGUUGUUAUAUCACCGGCCUAUGGAUGAUCCUAACUGGGAAUGAAAUUGUCAUCUACUUACCCAUCUGUCAUAGGACUUAGAACUUAAGAAAUGGACAUACAGGCUAAAUCCCACUAUCACAAAUAGAGUUAUAGCAAGUCUCAGUGGAUCCAAAAUAUUUUGAAAAACUUGUGUCCCCUUGGAACUUUCUGCAUGUGUUUUAUCUGUAAGCUUAGCAUAUCCAUGGUCUGAGACGAGCUUCAAGCUCUGCAUAAAUAAAUAAAUAGAUUCUCACUCCUGCCCUGGAAACUGCUUGGCUGCAUCUGGGAUUCUAUUACUAUCUGUCUGGGCUUCUGCAGCCUCUGUUUGGUGUUGGUCACACAGCCCUGCCCUGUGGCGGCUCUGUUCUUGCUAGGAGGUUGCGUCUGUUGGAGGCAGGCUGCUGGACCACACAAGGACUGUGAAUAAACUGUUUAUUCCACACUGGUAUUCAGGCCGGUACACCCACUGUGGUCCAAACUCCACCUUAAUGACCGGAUCUCUGCAGCUAACACCCCCUAAUCAGGCUCCCAAACCAGAGGCGCUGCAGAUGUGGAAGACCAGGAUGGCAGGGGCACUCCUAUAAACACAGACAGGUUCCUUACUGACAGCUUGAUCAAGACCACAGCCCAGGAUACAGCAUCCAAGGCCCUUCUUUGCACCUUUGGUCUCACUGCAUUGCUGGGAGGGGCCGUGUUCUCACUGCUAUGCAGCCAUACUGCUAGACAGUGGCCAUUCAUGCCCUGCCAUACUUCCCUGACUCCCCACCUGGAGAGAGUGUGUCCUGGAUGCAGCCUAGCAGUGGCCAGUUCGCACUCUGGCUCCUCAGCAGAUUUCACCAUCACAUGGGACUGUGGUGCUUGGCUCACAGUUUCAUGCCCCAUCUCGAGUACAUGACCUGGCUGCCCUCCUCUUUGGCCCCCCCAAAAUGACCCCCACCCAGGGGCCAUCUCAUCUAGAGCACAGUAAACAGUGUUUCCUCCCUGUAGGAGAAAGAGGCAGAGUGAAUGAAUGAAGAGGGAGCGGGGUCCAGGUCACUCAGCUAAUGAACUAGAGAUUCAGGGCAGUUUUUCUGCCUCUAAGCCCAGCCUUGCCUCACAAUGUGCAGUCAUUUAUUUUCACUAGACCUGGUAGACAGGCUGUUCCCCUAUACCAAAAUACAGUCUGGUGCAAGAGCUCCUCUAAGAGGCAGGUUUUCUGAGUUUGAUUUUAGGUUCUGCCAGAUACGAACAGGGAACUGGGAAUAGUAAGAAUACCCAUCCCAGGC
This 1637-nucleotide long non-coding RNA is filed under the name Capra hircus (goat). RNAcentral's name for it is "lncRNA (ENSCHIG00000008079.1)". Lineage: Eukaryota; Metazoa; Chordata; Mammalia; Artiodactyla; Bovidae. The record is from RNAcentral.